RNAcentral lists this ribosomal RNA (407 nucleotides) under uncultured bacterium. RNAcentral describes it as "partial 16S ribosomal RNA". It matches the Rfam family "Bacterial small subunit ribosomal RNA", at positions 30 to 526 of the family's 1533-position model. The record is from RNAcentral.
AUUGAACGCUGGCGGCAGGCCUAACACAUGCAAGUCGAACGGAGCGGCGGACGGGUGAGUAAUGCCUAGGUAUCUGCCUGGUAGUGGGGGAUAACGUCCGGAAACGGGCUCUAAUACCGCAUACUAUCAGAUUAGCCUAGGUCGGAUUAGCUAGUUGGUGGGGUAAAGGCCUACCAAGGCGACGAACCGUAACUGGUCUGAGAGGAUGAUCAGUCACACUGGAACUGAGACACGGUCCAGACUCCUACGGGAGGCAGCAGUGGGGAAUAUUGGGCAAUGGGCGAAAGCCUGAUCCAGCCAUGCCGCGUGUGUGAAGAAGGUCUUCGGAUUGUAAAGCACUGUAAGUAGGGAGGCGGUACCAAAAGAAUAAGCAACGGCUAACUUCGUGCCAGCAGCCGCGGUAAUUC